Molecule: unclassified non-coding RNA, 350 nt
Filed under: Yarrowia lipolytica
Lineage: Eukaryota; Fungi; Ascomycota; Dipodascomycetes; Dipodascales
Source: RNAcentral
GGACUCCCAGGCUGCUCGACUCCACGCUCGCUUUUUGGGCAAAUUUUACACCUUGGCCCCAUUUAGCGCCCCACGUGGGGUGCACAAGCCAAAAUCCGGCCUCCCACACCUUGCUUGUGCGCACACUCUACCCAGGAGUCAAAUCCAUUCGAAGCCCCCCUCGCCCCCCUCCUCCUCCCUCUUUAGGCUUUUAGACUAUCGAUAGUGUGAGAUUCAUGAGAGGAUAUAUUCGGAUUUAGAAGUGCCUAACUGCAAACCCAAAAGAGUGGGAGGUGAUACUUACUCCCUACUGUAGCUCAUAGGCUCCAGGCGCACGUUUAGAGAGAUUUUAACACGGAAAAGUGAAAAGU